AAAACAACAGUUUUGUUGGCAUGUGAAGCUCCAGUUUCCUCAGAGUCAAGCUGUGUACAUAGAGAAGAGAGUACCAGAUGAUAAAACUAUUAAUGAAAUCCUAAGACCUUACAUUGAUCCUGAAAAGUCUGAUCCUGUAAUUCGUCAAAGGUUGAAAGCCUACAUUCGCUCUCAGACUGGGGUCCAAAUUUUAAUGAAGGUGGAAUAUAUGCAACAAAAUUUAGUAAGGUAA
Long non-coding RNA from Equus quagga, 232 nucleotides. RefSeq lists it as uncharacterized. NCBI's taxonomy places the organism in Eukaryota, Metazoa, Chordata, Mammalia, Perissodactyla, Equidae. The transcript has 3 exons. The record is from RefSeq and is a predicted model, not a curated record.